UCAACUUAAUAGUACUAGAUAGAUAGGAACCCCAGCUCUCAGCUCAUAAUUUUAUCCGAUUGGUAAAUCGAUUUCCUGCAAGACGGCUUACUUUAAACUCUCAGCUUUAUUCGUUUGUUUACAUAAACUGUGCAGAGAAUAAAACAUCUGAGCAGCUAUGGUCCUUCCAUCCUGGAGGGAGGAGAAAUGCACGACGCGAAAUCUGCGAACUUUCUGGAUUAGAUCCCAGGCUCUUCGGCUCUAAGCCAGUCUGACGCCCAUUCAUACACCGCCGAAUCAAACGAUGGGCUACAGCUUCAAAGCGGAGAGCUUACAUAUGUACCCUUCGCUUUGCCACAAACCGAGUCGUAUCCGACUUUCGCCGCCAAAAGGAGUCCUAUCCAAGCAUUACCGAGGCGUAUUCGAGAUAGACCGAGUCCAAUCCCAGCCAGACAGAAUCGUAUCCCAGCAGGACAGAUGCGCACCCCUGCAAGAUCCGAACGUAAGAAGCCAUCGUCAUUCAAGGACUUUGACAAUGACAACCAAAGGAGAGGCUGCGGGAGCUACUAGAUUUUAGAUAGAUAUCCUUGUUGUUAGGUUUAAGAUAGAUACAAAUUGUAUCCACUUGUUUAUUUAUUUAUACUAAGCUAUGUUCUGAUCAAUAAAGUUAUUGAAAAAUCA
This 660-nucleotide unclassified non-coding RNA is filed under the name Drosophila pseudoobscura pseudoobscura. Its description in RNAcentral is "GA32120". Lineage: Eukaryota; Metazoa; Arthropoda; Insecta; Diptera; Drosophilidae. The record is from RNAcentral.